UGUGAGCCAGGUUGGUUUCUAUCUUUUAAUUAUUUAAAUAUUUUAGUACGAAAGGAUCAAAUAUUUUAAUUAAAUUAAUAUAAAAUUUUGAUUAUUAUUAAUAAAUUCAAUAUAAAAUUAAUAUUUUAAUUUAUAAAGAACUAUUUUG
RNAcentral lists this ribosomal RNA (148 nucleotides) under Idaea filicata. Its description in RNAcentral is "partial 16S ribosomal RNA". Lineage: Eukaryota; Metazoa; Arthropoda; Insecta; Lepidoptera; Geometridae. The record is from RNAcentral.